RNAcentral lists this ribosomal RNA (301 nucleotides) under uncultured bacterium. Its description in RNAcentral is "partial 16S ribosomal RNA". It matches the Rfam family "Bacterial small subunit ribosomal RNA", at positions 509 to 809 of the family's 1533-position model. The record is from RNAcentral.
CAGCAGCCACGGUAACACAGAGGAUGCAAGCGUUAUCCGGAAUGAUUGGGCGUAAAGCGUCUGUAGGUGGCUUUUCAAGUCCGCCGUCAAAUCCCAAGGCUCAACCCUGGACAAGCGGUGGAAACUACCAAGAUGGAGUACGGUAGGGGCAGAGGGAAUUUCCGGUGGAGCGGUGAAAUGCGUUGAGAUCGGAAGGAACACCAACGGUGAAAGCACUCUGCUGGGCCGACACUGACACUGAGAGACGAAAGUUAGGGGAGAAAAUGGGAUUAGAUACCCAGUAGUCCCUGUCUCUUAUACC